This is a non-coding RNA of Scomber scombrus (Atlantic mackerel), 375 nucleotides long. NCBI's taxonomy places the organism in Eukaryota, Metazoa, Chordata, Actinopteri, Scombriformes, Scombridae. The record is from the annotation of a RefSeq genome assembly.
AUGAUGAUGUCACUGACUCUACUGCUGGGCACCCUGGGGCUCCUUGUUCAGGGUUCAUCAGGACAAAUCAUCCUGACUCAGUCUCCUGGAUCUCACUCUGUUGCUCCAGGACAGACUAUCUCCAUCAGAUGUAAAACCAGUUCAACUGUUAGAGCUAGUUUGGGUACUACCUGGCUCCACUGGUACCUUCAGAAAUCAGGAAAAGUUCCUAAACUCCUGAUUUAUACAGCUACAACCCGUCAGUCUGGAGAUUCAAAUCGUUUUAGUGGAAGUGGAUCAAACACUGACUUCACUCUGACCAUCAGUAGAGUUCAGGCUGAAGAUUCAGGAGUUUACUACUGUCAGCAGAGUCUCAGCACACAGAUCACACAGUGA